RNAcentral lists this ribosomal RNA (1125 nucleotides) under uncultured archaeon. RNAcentral describes it as "bacterial SSU rRNA". It matches the Rfam family "Archaeal small subunit ribosomal RNA", at positions 300 to 1429 of the family's 1478-position model. The record is from RNAcentral.
UAUCUGAGACACGAUAUCGGGCCCUACGGGGCGCAGCAGGCGCGAAAUCUUCACAAUGUGCGAAAGCACGAUGAGGGGAUCCCAAGUGCUGGCACGUAAGUGUCAGCUGUUUCUUUGUCUAAAAAACAAAGAGAGUAAGAGCUGGGUAAGACGGGUGCCAGCCGCCGCGGUAAUACCCGCAGCCCGAGUGGUGGUCGAUAUUAUUGAGCUUAAAGCGUCCGUAGCCUGUCUGGUAAAUUCUUGGGUAAAUCGUGCAGCUUAACUGUUCGAAUUCCGGGGAGACUGCCAGACUUGGGACCGGGAGAGGUUGGAGGUACUCCUGGGGUAGGGGUGAAAUCCCGUAAUCCUGGGAGGACCACCAGUGGCGAAGGCGUCCAACUGGAACGGAUCCGACGGUCAGGGACGAAGCCCUGGGUCGCGAACUGGAUUAGAUACCCAGGUAGUCCAGGGUGUAAACGCUGCAGACUUGGUGUCGGAGGUCCUACGAGGGCGUCCGGUGCCGGAGAGAUAUUGUUAAGUCUGCCGCUUGGGGAGUACGUCCCGCAAGGAUGAAACUUAAAGGAAUUGGCGGGAGAGCACCGCAACGGGAGGAGCGUGCGGUUCAAUUGGAUUCAACGCCGGAAAACUCACCGGGGGCGACGGUUACAUGAAGGUCAAGUUGAUGACUUUACCUGAUUUUCCGAGAGGUGGUGCAUGGCCGUCGUCAGUUCGUACCGUAAGGCGUUCUGUCAAGUCAGAUAACGAACGAGACCCUCAUCUUAAUUGCCACCCUAUUCUCCGGAGUAGGAGCACAUUAAGGGGACCGCUGCCGCUAAGGCAGAGGAAGGGGAGGUCAACGGUAGGUCAGUAUGCCCCGAAUCCCCCGGGCUACACGCGCGCUACAAAGGCCAGGACAAUGGGCUUCAACACCGAAAGGUGGAGGCAAUCCCGAAACCUGUCCGUAGUUUGGAUUGAGGGCUGUAACUCGCCCUCAUGAAAAUGGAUUCCGUAGUAAUCGCGGGUCAACAUCCCGCGGUGAAUAUGCCCCUGCUCUUUGCACACACCGCCCGUCAAACCACCCGAGUUGGGCCUGAAUGAGGGUUUGCUCUUGUGGCGAGCUCGAAUUUGGGUUCAGCAAGGAGGGUU